Molecule: ribosomal RNA, 896 nt
Filed under: Enterococcus faecium
Lineage: Bacteria; Bacillati; Bacillota; Bacilli; Lactobacillales; Enterococcaceae
Description: bacterial SSU rRNA
Rfam family: Bacterial small subunit ribosomal RNA
Source: RNAcentral
GCUGGCGGCGUGCCUAAUACAUGCAAGUCGAACGCUUGUUUUUCCACCGGGGCUUGCUCCACCGGAAAAAGAGGAGGUCAAACGGGUGAGGUCACGUGGGUAACCUGCGCAUCAGAAGGGGAUAACACUUGGCUACAGGUGCAAAUACCGUAUAACAAUCGGAACCGCAAGGUUUUGGUUUGAACGGCGGUUUCUGGUGUCGCUGAUGGAUGGACCCUCGGUGCAUUAUCUAGUUGGUGAGGUAACGGCUCACCAAGGCUACGAUACAUGACCGACCUGAGAGGGUGAUCGGCCACGUUGGGACUGAGACACGGCCCAAACUCCUACGGGAGGCAAAUCUUCGGAAUCUUCGGCAAUGGACGAAAGUCUGACCGAGCAACGCCACGUGACUGAAGAAGGUUUUCGGAUCUGUUGUCUCUGUUGUUAGAGAAGAACAAGGAUGAGAGUAACUGUUCAUCCCUUGACGGUAUCUAACCACAAAGCCACGGCUAACUACAUGCCAGCUACCGCGGUAAUACGUAGGUGGCAAGCGUUGUCCGGAUUUAUUGGGCGUAAAGCGUGCGCACGCGGUUCCUUAAGUCUGAUGUGAAAGCCCCCGGCUCAACCGGGGAGGGUCAUUGGAAACUGGAAGACUUGAGUGCAAAAGAGGAUACUGGAAUUCCAUGUGUAUGCGUGAAAUGCGUAGAUAUAUGGAGGAGCACCAGUGGACGAAUGCGGUCUCUCUGGUGCUGUAACUGACGCUGAGCUCGAGAGCGUGCGGAGAUAACAUGCAUUAGAUACUCCUGCGUCCGUCCACGCCGUAAAGCGAUGAGUGCUAAGUGUUGCAGCGCUUUCGUGCUUUCAGUGAUGCAGCUAACGCAUUAAGCUGUGCAGCCUGGGGCAGUACGACUGACACG